Sceloporus undulatus (fence lizard) is the source of this 356-nucleotide long non-coding RNA. RefSeq lists it as uncharacterized. NCBI's taxonomy places the organism in Eukaryota, Metazoa, Chordata, Lepidosauria, Squamata, Phrynosomatidae. The transcript is spliced from 3 exons. The record is from RefSeq and is a predicted model, not a curated record.
UUGCUCUCCUGGGCCCCGGCUGAGGGAAGAAGGGCGGCUGCUGCCUGCCUUCCUGCCUGCCCUGGCCCUGGCCCUGGCCCUGGCUGGGGAGGAGGAGCCAUUGCCUGCCAGGCAACUCCCUUCAGGCCCAGAGGCUUAAAGGAUCUUGGAACCAAACCCCAGUGGAUAACAAGGCUCCGCUGUAUCUCUCCAUGCUAGCCAGGUGUUCCCAGCAGUGAUGAAAAACCUCUCUUUAUCAUGGCGCAUGAUUUCCUUCACCUACUUGUCUUGCAUUUAGCAUUCCUUGCAGUUUGGUUAACAGAAGGGAAAUAUGGGCUUAAUACAUAUGAUUGCUGUGGUUUAUAUCUGUGGUGUAU